Molecule: long non-coding RNA, 412 nt
Organism: Falco peregrinus (peregrine falcon)
Lineage: Eukaryota; Metazoa; Chordata; Aves; Falconiformes; Falconidae
Exons: 2
Source: RefSeq, a predicted model, not a curated record
AGCUAGGUGCCUCACAGCUACUGCAGGAGUCCGAAUUAGGCAGCACAAGUAGAGUCUUCCUGUGCCUGGCUUAAACACCCGUUCAGCCAUGCUGUGUGUGGUUACACAGUGGCUGUGUUUACCCUUAGGGAUGGCGGCUUUUCUCCUUGUGGAGGAAAGCAAAAUAUGAAUGAGAAGCUGAGAUGCUUUGCAAACUGUGGAAGAGAAGAGACUUUUUGCCUCACUUCUCCCUCCCCUAAUCCUCAUCACCCUCCGGACAGGGUUUAUGUGAAAUGGUACCAUGCGGCGGUCUUACCGAAAGACAAAGUAGCAGAAGAUGGUGAAAAUCACAACUCGCUCCCUCCUCCACCCCCUGAACUCACUGAAGAAGGGGAAAUGGUGGGGUUAAGAAAAUAAAGUUCUCUCCCAGUAA